GCCCGCUGAACGUCUUCUACUGGAGGCGAAUUCGGGCGCAGCGACGGGGGGCAGGGGCAACUAAGUUAUCCGGUUAAGAAACGUGCACUCGCACUGGACUCUGCUAACUGCUGACGACGGACUCCGCUUCUUGCCUGAGAGGGAGGAAGCACGAACGUUCUGUAUGUAACGAAAUGAGGACGACUGUUUCAAAGCUACUCAAAUAUUGUUGUGUUAAAGAGUAUUUACACUGAUCUCAUUGUAUCAUUUAGCUUCAAAGCUCAAAAUUCUGCUUUACUUAGAUAAGAGCUUGAAGUCCAAAUCUACACAAGUCAGAACCUAUGCAAGAAAAGCACCAUCGGUAGAAAUGAAUACACUUUGAAUGCCAUGGACCACCCUGUCUUCAGAGCAUGUCUGUUUGCUGACAUAGUUGGCUCCCUCAUAGCCCUUUAAAAAAUUGUCACGUAAAAAUGUGGGCGUUGCUGAAGGUUUUUAUUAAAAC
RNAcentral lists this long non-coding RNA (481 nucleotides) under Homo sapiens (human). Its description in RNAcentral is "non-protein coding lnc-BFSP1-1:1". The record is from RNAcentral. Lineage: Eukaryota; Metazoa; Chordata; Mammalia; Primates; Hominidae.